This 312-nucleotide ribosomal RNA is filed under the name Triticum aestivum (bread wheat). Its description in RNAcentral is "partial small subunit ribosomal RNA". The record is from RNAcentral. Lineage: Eukaryota; Viridiplantae; Streptophyta; Magnoliopsida; Poales; Poaceae.
AUGAAGCUCGAUUCGUUCUCGUUGCCCCUUGUCGUGGACACGCUCGGCUCAUGCUUCUUGGAUUACUUCUUCCUCCCGGCCUCUGGUACCCGGGACGGCAUCCUUCUUGCUUGGAACCGUAACGAGAUUUCUAUCUCCAGCCCCUACAUCGGUCAGCACCACAUCACGACCCUCGUUUCUACCACUUCAGGCGCGCACCCCUGGUGGAUCACCGGGGUCUAUGGCCCGCAGGACGAUGAUGAGAAGAUCUUGUUCCUCGAGGACUUGCAAGAUACCCACGACUCUUGCGCUGGCCCCUGGCUCCUCGACGGU